GAUGAACGCUAGCUACAGGCUUAACACAUGCAAGUCGAGGGGUAACGAGAGGGAAGCUUGCUUUCCUUGUCGACGACCGGCGCACGGGUGAGUAACGCGUAUCCAACCUGCCCCCAACUAGGGAAUAACCUUGCGAAAGUAAGACUAAUACCCUAUAAUUUCCUCAGAUGUCAUCUGACGAGGAAUAAAGAUUUAUCGGUGGUGGAUGGGGAUGCGUCUGAUUAGCUGGUUGGCGGGGUAAGGCCCCACCAAGGCAACGAUCAGUAGGGGUUCUGAGAGGAAGGUCCCCCACAUUGGAACUGAGACACGGUCCAAACUCCUACGGGAGGCAGGAGUGAGGAAUAUUGGUCAAUGGGCGGAAGCCUGAACCAGCCAAGUAGCGUGCAGGAUGACGGCCCUAUGGGUUGUAAACUGCUUUUAUACAGGAAUAAAGUUAGCCACGUGUGGUUAUUUGUAGGUACUGUAUGAAUAAGGACCGGCUAAUUCCGUGCCAGCCGCCGCAGUAA
RNAcentral lists this ribosomal RNA (506 nucleotides) under uncultured bacterium. RNAcentral describes it as "partial 16S ribosomal RNA". It matches the Rfam family "Bacterial small subunit ribosomal RNA", at positions 28 to 523 of the family's 1533-position model. The record is from RNAcentral.